This 445-nucleotide ribosomal RNA is filed under the name uncultured bacterium. RNAcentral describes it as "bacterial SSU rRNA". It matches the Rfam family "Bacterial small subunit ribosomal RNA", at positions 354 to 796 of the family's 1533-position model. The record is from RNAcentral.
GUGAGGAAUAUUGCGCAAUGGAGGCAACUCUGACGCAGCCAUGCCGCGUGCAGGAAGAAGGCGCUACGCGUUGUAAACUGCUUUUAACCGGGAAGAAACCCCAGGACGUGUCCUGGGUUGACGGUACCGGAGGAAUAAGCACUGGCUAACUUCGUGCCAGCAGCCGCGGUAAUACGAAGGGUGCAAGCGUUAUCCGGAUUCAUUGGGUUUAAAGGGUGCGUAGGCGGAGCGUUAAGUCAGUGGUGAAAUCCAGCAGCUUAACUGUAGACUUGCCAUUGAUACUGGCGCUCUUGAGUGCGCUUGAAGUGGGCGGAAUGUGCCGUGUAGCGGUGAAAUGCUUAGAUAUGGCACAGAACACCAAUUGCGAAGGCAGCUCACUAAGGCGAUACUGACGCUGAGGCACGAAAGCGUGGGGAUCGAACAGGAUUAGAAACCCGAGUAGUCC